RNAcentral lists this ribosomal RNA (406 nucleotides) under uncultured bacterium. RNAcentral's name for it is "partial 16S ribosomal RNA". It matches the Rfam family "Bacterial small subunit ribosomal RNA", at positions 32 to 526 of the family's 1533-position model. The record is from RNAcentral.
AUUUAACGCUGGUGGCAGGCCUAACACAUGCAAUUCGAACGAGUGGCGGACGGGUGAGUCAUGUCUGGAAAACUGCCUGAUGUAUGGGGAUAAAUACUGGACACGGUAGCUAAUACCGCAUACCAUCAGAUGUUCCCAGAUGGGAGUAGCUUGUUGGUGGGGUAACGGCUAACCAAGGCGACGAUCCCUAGAUGGUCUGCGAGGAUGACCAGCAACACUGGAACGGAGACACGGUCCAGAGUCCUACGGGAGUCAGAAGUGGGGAAUAUUGCACAAGGGGCGCAAGCCGGAUGCAGCCAUGCCGCGUGGAUGAAGAAGGCCUUAGGGUUGUAAAGGACUUUCAGCGUGGAGGCGUUACCCGCAGAUGAAGCACCGGCUAACUCCGUGCCAGCAGCCGCGGUAAUAC